UGUAGGGUGAACCUGCGGAGGGAUCAUUACCGAGUUUACAACUCCCAAACCCAAUGUGAACGUUACCAAACUGUUGCCUCGGCGGGAUCUCUGCCCCGGGUGCGUCGCAGCCCCGGACCAAGGCGCCCGCCGGAGGACCAACCAAAACUCUUUUUGUAUACCCCCUCGCGGGUUUUUUUAUAAUCUGAGCCUUCUCGGCGCCUCUCGUAGGCGUUUCGAAAAUGAAUCAAAACUUUCAACAACGGAUCUCUUGGUUCUGGCAUCGAUGAAGAACGCAGCGAAAUGCGAUAAGUAAUGUGAAUUGCAGAAUUCAGUGAAUCAUCGAAUCUUUGAACGCACAUUGCGCCCGCCAGUAUUCUGGCGGGCAUGCCUGUCCGAGCGUCAUUUCAACCCUCGAACCCCUCCGGGGGGUCGGCGUUGGGGAUCGGCCCUGCCUCUUGGCGGUGGCCGUCUCCGAAAUACAGUGGCGGUCUCGCCGCAGCCUCUCCUGCGCAGUAGUUUGCACACUCGCAUCGGGAGCGCGGCGCGUCCACAGCCGUUAAACACCCAACUUCUGAAAUGUUGACCUCGGAUCAGGUAGGAAUACCCGCUGAACUUAAGCAUAUCAAUA
Molecule: ribosomal RNA, 610 nt
Filed under: Trichoderma harzianum
Lineage: Eukaryota; Fungi; Ascomycota; Sordariomycetes; Hypocreales; Hypocreaceae
Description: eukaryotic LSU rRNA
Rfam family: 5.8S ribosomal RNA (bases 231-384)
Source: RNAcentral